CAAUAGCGUAUAUUUAAGUUGUUGCAGUUAAAAAGCUCGUAGUUGGAUUUCGGAUGGGACUUGCCGGUCCGUCGUUUCGAUGUGCACUGGCCAGUCCUAUCUUGUUGUCGGGGACUAGCUCCUGGGCUUCACUGUCCGGGACUAGGAGCUGACGAGGUUACUUUGAGUAAAUUAGAGUGUUCAAAGCAAGCCUACGCUCUGAAUACAUUAGCAUGGAAUAACACGAUAGGACUCUGGCUUAUCUUGUUGGUCUGUGAGACCAGAGUAGUGAUUAAGAGGGACAGUCGGGGGCAUUCGUAUUUCAUUGUCAGAGGUGAAAUUCUUGGAUUUAUGAAAGACGAACUUCUGCGAAAGCAUUUGUCAAGGAUGUUUUCAUUAA
RNAcentral lists this ribosomal RNA (379 nucleotides) under uncultured eukaryote. RNAcentral describes it as "partial 18S ribosomal RNA". It matches the Rfam family "Eukaryotic small subunit ribosomal RNA", at positions 592 to 976 of the family's 1831-position model. The record is from RNAcentral.